This 199-nucleotide ribosomal RNA is filed under the name uncultured bacterium. Its description in RNAcentral is "partial 16S ribosomal RNA". It matches the Rfam family "Bacterial small subunit ribosomal RNA", at positions 1288 to 1500 of the family's 1533-position model. The record is from RNAcentral.
CUAGUUCGGAUUGUAGGCUGAAACUCGCCUACAUGAAGCUGGAAUUGCUAGUAAUCACAGGUCAGCAUACUGUGGUGAAUACGUUCCCGGGCCUUGUACACACCGCCCGUCACACCAUGAGAGUUGAGAAUACCCGAAGCCCAUGUCAAAGUGGUCGAAGGUAGGCUUGAUGAUUGGGGUGAAGUCGUAACAAGGUAAC